CUUUGCCUUGGAGAUUCCUGAUUGGCUGACAUUAAGAUGGGAGCUCUUUGGAUUAGAGCUUCAUUGUAAAUUAUUGCUCUUUGGUUCCACCUACAGUUUGAAAGAGGAAUAGCCUCUUAGAAGUACCCUAUGAUCUCUAUUACCCUCUCUGGUUUGAGAGGAAGAAAAAUCAGGAAGACAGCUGCUUUGGGCUAGGUUUCAACUCUGCCCUCAGCUGAUUGAAAUAUGGAUCAUUCUGCUGAAGUCAUUGAAGUCCACUGGCAAGACAAAAGUCAGAACAACUGAUGCUGGCAAUGAAUGACGCGGGCAUCUUCUAUAUCUGACCAAGUUCUAAGUGCUCCAUGGUACCAUCUUCAGCUGCUUUCAUGGCUGUCAGAACAAACUGUUCUCAUCUAACCAUUCCAUGGAAGAAAGUCUUCACAUGCUUGGGCUGUCUAUCCUACUGACAAGUUUUGGCCCAUCUGUAGCCUGUCUGCCUGAAGGUUUUACUGGAGUGUGGCCACUGCAAAUGCUAUAGCUUCUUGACACCACAGAUGAGCACCAGGUGGAUACCAAAGUAUCACUAUAAAUACCCUCCUAUUCCUCCCACUGCUCAAAUGAGAACAGUCACAAAAGAAAUCCAAAGCCUGAAAAUGUAUGUCUUAUUCAUCACUUCUCUGCUAGAAGUGGGAAGCUUAUCCAUCAAUGGUCAUACUGGAUCCAAACUGCUCAUGGUAUCAAUCAGAGUUAAAUCUGUCACAGUUGUUUUCCUUUUCUGUGUUGGAAUCACUGUAGAAAUUGUUCUUCUUGCUUUUUCUCUGUAUAAACUCUUAUGAGUUGUAAGAUUUAAAAUUGUUGUGGUUGUAAACAGUGGCAGUUAGAAGAGUUGGAGACAUAAACUGUAGUGAGUAAAAUAGUGGAAGAUAUAAAUUGUGAUAGAUAUAAGAGUGGGUGAGUAAAUUUGACCACAGAAAAUAUGUUUCACUACAGUGUCUUGGUUUUUAAAUCAAAUAUAAGGUGGUCGCCAGGGAAUAUAUUCCCAAUUAUGAAUAUACCCAAGUCAACUGGGUUUUAUAGAGAUUUUUAAUUAAUAAUACAAUGGGGAAUUAAAGAAAGAGAGAAAGAGUAAGAAAGGAAUAAGUAUGAAGGGCCUUAAGCCAACAUGGCCUAGACCUGAGUCUUAAGAGAGAGAGAUCAGUCAGUCAGUCUUUUAUCACUCACCACAAGGUCUGUCUAAGCAAGGAUUCUAGUGACACCAGGCCAGCUCCAUCUCAGCUGACUUCACUAGAGAGAGUUCCAGCCAGAGUCCUCCUUAAAGAGCCUUCCAGCCAGAGACUGUUCCAAAGGGCCUCUCUCCAGAGCCUCCAGAGGGACAGAGUCCCCUCAGAGGAGCUCCAGCGAGACCUCCUUAGAGAUUGUCCUCCAAGAGCUUCCCUUCUCGAGAGCCUCUCUCAAGAGAUUCUUCCCAAGCAAUCCUCAUCAGAGAUCCUCCAAAAGGAUUCUCUUCUCAAAAGAUUCUGCUUUUUCUUAUACAGGGGGUUUUCUCCUAUGUCACUUCCCCUGAGUCCUUACAUCUACCAAUCACUGUAGACGUUUUCCAAAGGACAAACCAUUCUAAAAACACUGCUGGGUCGACUUAAUCCCUUUACUAAGUUUGAAUCAGAAAAAAACACUGCUGGGUCGACUAAUCCCCUCAGUAAGUUUGAACCAGAGAAAACACAGCUGAGUCAACUAAUCCCCUCAAGAGAAAACCUCUGAAUAAGUUUUCACCUCUUUGCUCCUGGCAAGUUUACAAGUUGCCUGACCUUUAUAGGUACCUAGCAUCCCAUUGUAUCA
This is a long non-coding RNA of Monodelphis domestica (gray short-tailed opossum), 1815 nucleotides long. NCBI's taxonomy places the organism in Eukaryota, Metazoa, Chordata, Mammalia, Didelphimorphia, Didelphidae. The record is from Ensembl.